This 468-nucleotide long non-coding RNA is filed under the name Pan troglodytes (chimpanzee). RNAcentral's name for it is "long non-coding RNA NONPTRT004322". The record is from RNAcentral. Lineage: Eukaryota; Metazoa; Chordata; Mammalia; Primates; Hominidae.
GAACAGCUCUGCAAGGACCGCCGCAGGCCACAAGUGCACGGGGUGCCAGGAGCUCCCCGUCCCCGGCCCCCGGCCCGGGCUGAAACAGCAACGGUUUGCCCGGGCCCUCCCCCUUCCCUCUUCCCCAGCAAAUCUACCCAGACCGGAAGCGCGACACGCGCUUAGACCCGAGCCUUCUCUCAGCCUCGGGACCAGGUGCUUGUUGGCUGCGUCGAAAAGGCAAAAGUAAAAAAAGCGAAGGCGAAGGGCAGCUCAAUGGGAACGAUUCAGGGGGUCUUCCCGGCUCCCAGCACCCCCAAGAAGAUGGCUGCCGAUAAAUCUCGCGAGAAAUGAUGAAGUCUCGCGGUGGCUCCCGGAGCCUGCUGGGAGAGACGUAAGGUCGGCGGAGAAUGCGCGGGUCGAGUGCUGUAGUUCGAUAUUUGCGUGUGUAAUUCAAGAGGAAACGCUUGAGCAAUUACUGAUGUUGUA